Long non-coding RNA from Megalobrama amblycephala (Wuchang bream), 817 nucleotides. RefSeq lists it as uncharacterized. NCBI's taxonomy places the organism in Eukaryota, Metazoa, Chordata, Actinopteri, Cypriniformes, Xenocyprididae. The transcript is spliced from 5 exons. The record is from RefSeq and is a predicted model, not a curated record.
CUGUUAAAAAAUUCAUUUCAUCAUUGCACAAUUUUUCAUGACCAAUGAAAUAUUUCUUAAAAGUAAGCAGAUAAUCAACAGCAACAUUGAUCCACAAAGAGGUUCUUCACAUGAUCGACAACUAGAGGGCACUGUUGCUCUUGAUUAUCAACUAUCAAUCAACAGGUGCAGUCGAAACGCUAUUGAUUCUCCUGAGCGUAACGGCUCAAGCAUAUCUGCAGAUUAGCAUCCAUGUUCAUUUGAGGUCAGACGAUAGAUUACAAGGGGAGCUGUGCAGCUACACUGUUGCACGUGGUCGCGCGCGUGCUGCUACUUCACGAUGAACGUAACCUGGACCAGAGCAAAUUAUAAAAGGAAACAUCAUUAACGGCUUCAAGGAUUCUCCUCAUCAAGACUCAACCAGAGGAACAUGCGUUUGUGAAAGUUCAAGUGGGUACUUUCAAUUUCGGCUCCCCAAGAGCUGAAAAAUGCAGCAAACAGAGGAGAGUUACACUAAUGUAGUCUGUUUGAAGAUGCUCCUAAGACGGGAUCCCCAGUGAAAGGAAGAUGUUUUCUUCUGUUCUCACAAUGCAUCUGAUCUGUCAGCGAAGAAAAGGCAACAUGACAGCACUGUUUGCACAAGCUCAUCCCGUGCCAUUUCAUCCUGCGCUGCAAGACAUGCAUGCGCAGAGCUGCCAGGUGAUUCGUGAUUUGUUUCAGUUUAUCUCUUAAAAUGAGAAUAGUUUGAUUAAAAUUAAUUUGGAUUGUUUUGUUGAUUUUGAUUUAUUUCUGUUCUUCCUUUGGAAAUGUAGCUAAAUAAAACACUACUGUAGUGUCA